GACGAGCGCUGGCGGCGUGCUUAACACAUGCAAGUCGAACGCGCCUGUCCUCUGGGUUUCUGGGGGGUGGGUGAGUGGCGAACGGGUGAGUAACACGUGAGUAACCUGCCCCCUUCUUCGGGAUAACGGUCUGAAAGGGCUGCUAAUACCGGGUAUUCACUGGUCUCCGCAUGGGGUCUGGUGGAAAGGUUUUUUUCUGGUGGGGGAUUGGCUCGCGGCCUAUCAGCUUGUUGGUGGGGUGAUGGCCCACCAAGGCUUUGACGGGUAGCCGGCCUGAGAGGGUGACCGGUCACAUUGGGACUGAGAUACGGCCCAGACUCCUACGGGGGGCAGCAGUGGGGAAUAUUGCACAAUGGGCGCAAGCCUGAUGCAGCGACGCCGCGUGAGGGAUGGAGGCCUUCGGGUUGUGAACCUCUUUCGCCCGUGGUCAAGCCGCGACGUGGGUCGUGGUGAGGGUAGUGGGUAAAGAAGCGCCGGCUAACUACGUG
This 488-nucleotide ribosomal RNA is filed under the name uncultured bacterium. Its description in RNAcentral is "partial 16S ribosomal RNA". It matches the Rfam family "Bacterial small subunit ribosomal RNA", at positions 28 to 507 of the family's 1533-position model. The record is from RNAcentral.